Molecule: ribosomal RNA, 460 nt
Filed under: uncultured bacterium
Lineage: Bacteria
Description: partial 16S ribosomal RNA
Rfam family: Bacterial small subunit ribosomal RNA
Source: RNAcentral
CCUACGGGUGGCAGCAGUGAGGAAUAUUGGUCAAUGGCCGGAAGGCUGAACCAGCCAUGCCGCGUGAAGGUCAGUGCCCUAUGGGCGUUAAACUUCUUUUGUGCGGGAGCAAUAAUGGUCACGUGUGGCCAGACGAGAGUACCGUACGAAUAAGCAUCGGCGAACUCCGUGCCAGCAGCCGCGGUAAUACGGGGGAUGCCAGCGUUAUCCGGAUUUAUUGGGUUUAAAGGGGGCGUAGGGUGUGAGGUAAGUCAGCGGUGAAAUGCCCCCGCGCAACGGGGUGAAGUGCCAUUGAGACUGCCUGGCUGGAGUGCGAAUGCCGUGGGAGGAAUGUGUGGUGUAGCGGUGAAAUGCAUAGAUAUCACACAGAACACCGAUUGCGAAGGCAUCUCACGAAUCCGCGAUUGACGCUGAUGCACGAAAGCGUGGGUAUCAAACAGGAUUAGAUACCCUAGUAGUC